AUGCCUGCAUUCUGGAAUUUCUCCUUCUCACGAGGAACACUAGGAUCACUAGGGCCAGGAUCUUGCUGGUCACGAUUCCAAUGACUAACCAAAGGAUGAUCUGCAACCUAGCAGACAAGCAAGCAAACAAACAAAACACACAAGAAAAAAGGGAUGCAGAAUUGGCCUGGACCGAUGGAGGGUUUCUGCAAUGAGGAUACAAAUGCACCCAGCCAAAUACUCCCUCUGGCGAUACUUCUGGGACAGGAUCGUUACAGCUGUUGCUGUGCUCUUGGGCAUCACUGCAGUAGCUGAAAUCCUGCUAGACAGGCCAGGCAAGACAAAAUGCAGAGCCGGGAGAUGUGCAUGGACUCCCCGGAAUGGACACGCUUACAAGGACAGACCCAGUGCCUUCAAGGAAAUCACCUCACGCUGCCUCAGCAGGCAUUCUCUGUCAGUCCAGCUUUGGGUUCCCAUCUCCAGGCUAAAGCUGCAAAACCAGCUACCUCCAAGUUUACGCCCUUUCUUCUCGGAAAGAGCCUGCUCAGCACGUCUAGGUGAGAAAGACGCUUUCACACCACUCUGGGCAUUUAAAGCAGGGGACUUAAAGGCAGAUCUGAUGGAGAGAAGAGGCAAGAUGUAACAAGAACUGCUCCUCUCCUCUCCGUUGGGCUCAGCAAAGGCUGCCCGAGCCUCGGCGAGGUGCAGGAGCUGGGUAAAGGACUCGUCUCUUUUGUAGCCUCCACCAACUCACCUGGUUUCUUUAAAAACCUUGAUUGAAAAACCUUGAAGUGAUGGCCUUUGGGCUGACAAAGCCAUUUCUGAGCAUUUUGAUGCUGACACUACAGAUGUUGGGCCCAGCGAGACAGUCCCUACCUAGAGUGAGGAAGAGGACCCCAGUUUCUAAGGCGAAUCUGCUCUUUGCACAAGGGCCUGGGCUGUUGGAUCUGGAGUUUGAAUUGUGAAGGGGUCGUGAUAGCUGUUUGCUCUGGUCUGGGCCUAUCCCUGCUUUCCAGCACAUGUUGGCCCCUGUACUGUUUUGCUUCAAAAAUAAGAAUAAAUCAAUGGCUUCUCUUGGCUCA
This 1061-nucleotide long non-coding RNA is filed under the name Struthio camelus australis. Its description in RNAcentral is "lncRNA (ENSSCUG00000005002.1)". The record is from RNAcentral. Lineage: Eukaryota; Metazoa; Chordata; Aves; Struthioniformes; Struthionidae.